UAACGAUACGGGACUCAUCCGAGGCCCCGUAAUCGGAAUGAGUACACUUUAAAUCCUUUAACGAGGACCCAUUGGAGGGCAAGUCUGGUGCCAGCAGCCGCGGUAAUUCCAGCUCCAAUAGCGUAUAUUAAAGUUGUUGCGGUUAAAAAGCUCGUAGUUGAAUCUGUGUGCCACGCUGUCGGUUCAUCGCUCGCGAUGUUUAACUGACAUGAUUGUGGGACGUCCUACCGGUGGGCUUAGCUCCUCACGGGGCGGUCCAGCUAAUAUCCCAUCGCGGUGCUCUUGAUCGAGUGUCGAGGUGGGCCGGUACGUUUACUUUGAACAAAUUAGAGUGCUCAAAGCAGGCUAUGUUCGCCUGAAUACUGCGUGCAUGGAAUAAUGGAAUAGGACCUCGGUUCUAUUUUGUUGGUUUUCGGAACCCCGAGGUAAUGAUUAAUAGGGACAGAUGGGGGCAUUCGUAUUGCGACGUUAGAGGUGAAAUUCUUGGAUCGUCGCAAGACGGACAGAAGCGAAAGCAUUUGCCAAAAAUGUUUUCAUUAAUCAAGAACGAAAGUUAGAGGUUCGAAGGCGAUCAGAUACCGCCCUAGUUCUAACCAUAAACGAUGCCAGCUAGCGAUCCGCCGAAGUUCCUCCGAUGACUCGGCGGGCAGCUUCCGGGAAACCAAAGCUUUUGGGUUCCGGGGGAAGUAUGGUUGCAAAGCUGAAACUUAAAGGAAUUGACGGAAGGGCACCACCAGGAGUGGAGCCUGCGGCUUAAUUUGACUCAACAC
Molecule: ribosomal RNA, 770 nt
Filed under: Monorthochaeta nigra
Lineage: Eukaryota; Metazoa; Arthropoda; Insecta; Hymenoptera; Trichogrammatidae
Description: SSU rRNA
Rfam family: Eukaryotic small subunit ribosomal RNA
Source: RNAcentral